UACGUAGGGGGCGAGCGUUGUCCGGAAUUACUGGGCGUAAAGCGAGCGCAGGUGGUUUAAUAAGUCUGAUGUAAAAGGCAGUGGCUCAACCAUUGUGUGCAUUGGAAACUGUUAGACUUGAGUGCAGUAGAGGAGAGUGGAAUUCCAUGUGUAGCGGUGAAAUGCGUAGAUAUAUGGAGGAACACCGGUGGCGAAAGCGGCUCUCUGGACUGUAACUGACACUGAGGCUCGAAAGCGUGGGUAGCAAACAGG
This 252-nucleotide ribosomal RNA is filed under the name uncultured microorganism. RNAcentral describes it as "partial 16S ribosomal RNA". It matches the Rfam family "Bacterial small subunit ribosomal RNA", at positions 524 to 776 of the family's 1533-position model. The record is from RNAcentral.